CAGUAGCCACGGUAAUACGGAGGGUGCAAGCGUUAAUCGGAAUUACUGGGCGUAAAGCGCACGCAGGCGGUCUGACAAGUCAGAUGUGAAAUCCCCGGGCUUAACCUGGGAACUGCAUUUGAAACUGUCAGGCUGGAGUCUUGUAGAGGGGGGUGGAAUUCCAGGUGUAGCGGUGAAAUGCGUAGAGAUCUGGAGGAAUACCGGUGGCGAAGGCGGCCCCCUGGACAAAGACUGACGCUCAGGUGCGAAAGCGUGGGGAGCAAACAGGAUUAGAUACCCGUGAGUCCCUGUCUCUUAUACA
RNAcentral lists this ribosomal RNA (301 nucleotides) under uncultured bacterium. RNAcentral's name for it is "partial 16S ribosomal RNA". It matches the Rfam family "Bacterial small subunit ribosomal RNA", at positions 509 to 808 of the family's 1533-position model. The record is from RNAcentral.